Long non-coding RNA from Misgurnus anguillicaudatus (oriental weatherfish), 932 nucleotides. RefSeq lists it as uncharacterized. Lineage: Eukaryota; Metazoa; Chordata; Actinopteri; Cypriniformes; Cobitidae. The record is from RefSeq and is a predicted model, not a curated record.
ACGCCGCACGUGUGACAUCAUCGUCCUAUCGAUCGUUUUUACAUAAAUGGAUACAUUUAGCGCUCACUGUGACUUGUUUUGUUGUUGAAAUUAACAAUUCACGGGUUAGUGGAUCUGAACGCAUGGAGGAUUGAGCACACUUCAACAAACAAGGUCAAUAAACUGGCCCGCGCAGACACCCGAAGCUUUGGCUUGUGUUCUAAUGAAGUAAGCAAUUAAAAAGGAUUUUAUAAAAGCAACAACUGCUCUGUUUAUGACAGAGGGGAGGGAAGAACAUUAUAGGGGAAAGUAGAAGUGAAGGGUUCACUGUGCAAUAGCGACUGCAGUGGACACAGAGCGCGUGCUGUCUGACCACUACCUCGUCGCGAGGAAAAGUGCGCAUGAGGAGCAGGAUCAUUCCCACAGAAAUGCGUAAUCUGCUGAACGUUUGGGUUUACAUGACCAAGAAAUGUACCCAGGUAAUUACCACACAUUGUCAAAAAGAGGGAGCGCGGAUUCAAAUUCAGAGUGAAGGAUCAAAGAGUCCACUGCCACGGGCGCGCGCGGUGACGAUGUGACAGCCCACAACAAUGCGCGUGAAGUUUGGCUCUCUGCAUGCGGACGCCUUGAAUUUGGCAAUUUUACAAGAUAAGGAAUUCAAUUCAAGCUUGAGAUGAAAACGGAAUCACAUUUCUUUAUAAUAUUUUUUUAAUAUAGGUUUACACCUUUAAAAUUAUGAUAAUAUUUAGAAUUGCUAAAACAUCAUCAUGAAUUAUUAAAACGCACAUGUAAAGAUACGAGAAUGUUGCAUUUAAAGGGGACAUAUCAUGGAAAUCUGACUUGUUCCAUGUUUAAGUGCUAUAAUUGGGUCCCCGGUGCUUCUAUCAACCUAGAUAAUGUGAAAAAGAUUUUGAGCUAAAACUUUACAUAUACUUUGGGGACACCAAAGCUUU